AUUGAACGCUGGCGGCAGGCCUAACACAUGCAAGUCGAACGAGUGGCGGACGGGUGAGUAAUGUCUGGGAAACUGCCCGAUGGAGGGGGAUAACUACUGGAAACGGUAGCUAAUACCGCAUACCAUCGGAUGUGCCCAGAGGGGAUUAGCGAGUAGGUGGGGUAACGGCUCACCAAGGCCACGAUGCCUAGCUGGUCUGAGAGGAUGACCAGCCACACUGGAACUGAGACACGGUCCAGACUCCUACGGGAGGCAGCAGUGGGGAAUCUUGCACAAUGGGCGCAAGCCUGAUGCAGCCAUGCCGCGUGUAUGAAGAAGGCCUUCGGGUUGUAAAGUACUGUCAUCGGGGAGGCGUUACUCGCCCAAGAAGCCCCGGCUAACUCCGUGCCAGCAGCCGCGGUAAUAC
Molecule: ribosomal RNA, 406 nt
Filed under: uncultured bacterium
Lineage: Bacteria
Description: partial 16S ribosomal RNA
Rfam family: Bacterial small subunit ribosomal RNA
Source: RNAcentral